CCUACGGGAGGCAGCAGUGGGGGAUAUUUCCCAAUGGGGGGAACCCUGAUGCAGCGACGCCGCGUGGGUGAAGAAGCGCCUCGGCGCGUAAAGCCCUUUCCGCCGGGGAGAAAAUGACGGUACCUGAAGAAGAAGCCCCGGCUAACUACGUGCCAGCCGCCGCGGUAAUACGGAGGGGGAAAGCUGUAUCCAGAUUUACUGGGUGUAAGGGGGGCGCAGACGGCGGUGCAAGCCAGGAGUGAAAGCCCGGGGCCCAACCCCGGGACUGCUCUUGGAACUGCGUGGCUGGAGUGAAGGAGAGGCAGGCGGAAUUCCUAGUGUAGCGGUGAAAUGCGUAGAUAUUAGGAGGAACACCAGUGGCGAAGGCGGCCUGCUGGGCUUUAACUGACGCUGAGGCUCGAAAGCGUGGGGAGCAAACAGGAUUAGAUACCCCUGUAGUC
RNAcentral lists this ribosomal RNA (440 nucleotides) under uncultured bacterium. Its description in RNAcentral is "partial 16S ribosomal RNA". It matches the Rfam family "Bacterial small subunit ribosomal RNA", at positions 338 to 795 of the family's 1533-position model. The record is from RNAcentral.